Molecule: transfer RNA, 72 nt
Filed under: Pharyngomonas kirbyi
Lineage: Eukaryota; Heterolobosea; Pharyngomonadea; Pharyngomonadida; Pharyngomonadidae
Description: tRNA-Ile
Rfam family: tRNA
About the family: Transfer RNA (tRNA) molecules are approximately 80 nucleotides in length. Their secondary structure includes four short double-helical elements and three loops (D, anti-codon, and T loops). Further hydrogen bonds mediate the characteristic L-shaped molecular structure. tRNAs have two regions of fundamental functional importance: the anti-codon, which is responsible for specific mRNA codon recognition, and the 3' end, to which the tRNAs corresponding amino acid is attached (by aminoacyl-tRNA synthetases). tRNAs cope with the degeneracy of the genetic code in two manners: having more than one tRNA (with a specific anti-codon) for a particular amino acid; and 'wobble' base-pairing, i.e. permitting non-standard base-pairing at the 3rd anti-codon position.
Source: RNAcentral
AGGCUUGUAGUUCAGUGGUAGAACGGGUCGCUCAUAACGAUUAGGUCGUAGGUUCGAAUCCUACCAAGCCUA